UAGGGAAUCUUCGGCAAUGGGGGCAACCCUGACCGAGCAACACCGCGUGAGUGAAGAAGGGUUUCGGCUCGUAAAGCUCUGUUGUUAAAGAAGAACACGUAUGAGAGUAACUGUUCAUACGUUGACGGUAUUUAACCAGCAAGUCACGGCUAACUACGUGCCAG
Molecule: ribosomal RNA, 164 nt
Filed under: uncultured bacterium
Lineage: Bacteria
Description: partial 16S rRNA
Rfam family: Bacterial small subunit ribosomal RNA
Source: RNAcentral